AUGUCGGGCGGGAGCGACGGGCAGGGCGACUGGGCGGAUUCCCCACCUACCACCAUUAAUGGAGUCGCCAUUAAUGCCGAGCGAGGUCAAAUUGACCCUCGUCCCUGCCUCCCCCACCCAAUCCCCACCACUGUAUCCACCUACUCGAAGCGCGACGCGAGCGAGAGUACGGGGGGAGAUGCCAGGGGGACCGGACCGCAGACCACGCGUGCGGAGGGUUCGGCGGCUGCAUCUGGCGGCGCCGCCAGCCCUUGCACCUCCGGUCCGGGUCCCCGUGGAGCAGCUGCCGGAGAUCAACUCUGCCUCGCCGGAAGCGCGAGCGGAGAUGCUGCGGGUGGUAAUGGGGCGCUUCCCCGACCGCUCAGAGUGGCCCGACCGAUGCAUCCAGGUCAUUCAGACCUCGACGUUCGCGGAACGAGCUCCAUUCACCGGCGACGAUGGCGGGGUGGAAUACAAGCUGCUAUUCUGGGCGAUUCAGGAGGCGGAAUCGACAGUCCCGGUCACCGCACGCAGGUGGGCGAGGUUCAAGACGACGAGCCCGUCCAGGCUGAACAUCAGGCCGCCCCCCGUGGUGCAGCUCGCCAACAUUCCACGCGAGUUCCUGCCGCCGGGGGAGAGCCCACCCAGAGGCCCUUGAGGGCUGCGGCUCCCGGCGGGCGUGCGCGGCGGGACCUCGAACCGCGGGCGCGCCUUGUGGGGAACAGACUCCGCGGCAGCAGUCUGGAUCCGCCACCAUGGCCGGGAGAUCGAGGAAGGGUGCCGCGUCUUCCAACGAAGGGCCGCACUUGGAGAAAUGCCGCAUGUGUUCUUGUGAAACUAAGGUCUCAUCUACAGCAAUGGAAAGUGCUCUGCGACGACAAUCAAGCAGUGCUGCUACAAAGAUGUAUUCUUCUGCUGGACAAAAAGCGCGGGGAGCUGAUGCGGAUUGCCUGGAGAUGA
This 939-nucleotide ribosomal RNA is filed under the name Triticum aestivum (bread wheat). RNAcentral describes it as "partial small subunit ribosomal RNA". The record is from RNAcentral. Lineage: Eukaryota; Viridiplantae; Streptophyta; Magnoliopsida; Poales; Poaceae.